This is a long non-coding RNA of Bos taurus (domestic cattle), 1837 nucleotides long. Lineage: Eukaryota; Metazoa; Chordata; Mammalia; Artiodactyla; Bovidae. The record is from Ensembl.
GCUAUAAGACGUGAGGCUUGUACUAACAAACACCAGUGUGUUUUUCAUCUGGGUCAAGAGGACGCAGGCUUCCCACCUCCAAGUGGAGGUUGAAAUUGAUCCCAUGCAGGGCCCUGUGGGGCUCCUGGGCACAAGACCUUUCUGUGUCCCCCAUUUCUUUGAUUAUAGGAAACAGCCUUUAUUCAGCCCGCAUGACCUUUCCUGGGUUCCAAUGGGCAGAUUCAAGCCACUGUUAAUUAGGGAAGGAAGGGGAUGUGAGACCAGGGAGAAAGAGUCAAGAGCAGCUUUGAGGCAGGGUCCUGUUUCCCCAUCAAAGGAUACACACAACAGUAUCUCUGAGCUGCUCUACAGAUACUGAAACCCCCUCCAGGUGGGAGAAGUUAGUGAUUAAUGAUGGUAUGUUGCCCACAAGCUUGUAGACCCCACAUCAGUUGGACCUGAAAGUUGAUGAUGUGGACUCCUAUUUACCUCAGCACCAACCCACUGGAAGAAUGUCUACAUUGGCUACAAUGUCUACAGUCCAUGGAGUCACAGAGUCAGACAUGACUGAUCGACUAAGCACCUUAGCACGUUCUAAAAGGGCUUCCCUGGUGGCUCAGCAGUAAAGAAUCUGCCUGCAAUGCCCGAGACCCGGCUUCGAUCCCUGGGUUGAGAAGAUCCCCUAGAGGAGGGCAUGGCAACCGACUCCAAUACUCUGGCCUAGAGAAUCCCAUGGGCAGAGGCACCUGGCCGACUGUAGCCCAUAGGAUCACACAGAGUUGGACACGACUGAAGCAACUAAGCAGCAGCAGAAGGCCAAGGCUUCAGAGAGAAAUACUUAAUAAUUAGUAUGUUAAAUUUCAUGGGAUUUCUAAAAAUCUGGUAUGCCCCAGUAAAAUGUUAUCUCAUUGUUUUCUAGUUGUUUUAAAAUGUUGCAUGUCAUAAUAACUCAGUUUAUUUUGUCAAUCCCAUUGUGGCCAAAUGUUUAUGACUUUUUAAAUUCCUUUUUAAAGUCUUUCUGUGAUUUAUAGAUGGCUAUUGUUGUAUUCAUGUAUAUUCAUGUAUGGACAUGAAUUUGAGCAAACUCCAGGAGAUAGUGGAGGACAGAGGAGCCUGGCAUGUUGAAGGCCAUGGGGUCGAAACAAGCUGGACGUAACUCAGGGACUGAACAACAACAACACUGUUGUAGUCUGUUAAAUCUCAGGUUAUACUGGGGAACUAGGUAAGGAAGAAAGUCCUAAGGGAAAGCCUGAUCGCUUCAUACAAAGUUAAAAACAGGAUUGGUUACUAAAUGGACUGUAAAUUAUGGUGAUAAAUUUAUGGGUUUUAUCUGAAAUGUCACUGAUUUUAACUCAUGUUUUCCAGAUAUAGGGAAGCCCUUCUCCUCAAGUUGGUUAUGAUUUACAACAGUUUGGUAAAUUAUACCUCUGCUUCCUUAUGCUGCUGCUGCUAAGUCUCUUCAGUUGUGUCCGACUCUGUGUGACCCCAUAGAUGGCAGCCCACCAGGCUCCCGCAUCCCUGGAAUUCUCCAGACAAGAACACUGGAGUGGGUUGCCAUUUCCUUCUCCAAUGCAUGAAAGUGAAAAGUGAAAGUGAAGUCGCUCAGUCAUGUCCGACUCUUAGCGACCCCAUGGACUGCAGCCUACCAGGCUCCUCCAUCCAUGGGAUUUUCCAGGCAAGAGUACUGGAGUGGGGUGCCAUUGCCUUCUCCGUCCCUUAUGCUGGGGACAAUUAAAUCAUACUAAGGACUAAUACUGCUAGCUAUGUUAUUUUUUAUUUUACCUGUUUUACAAAAGUAUUGUUUACCGCAUUAUCAGAUAUGUGACUGAGCCUCUGAUAAAAUAACGAUAUAUAGUUC